Molecule: ribosomal RNA, 838 nt
Filed under: uncultured archaeon
Lineage: Archaea
Description: bacterial SSU rRNA
Rfam family: Archaeal small subunit ribosomal RNA
Source: RNAcentral
AGGUUACUGCUAUCGGUGUUCGCCUAAGCCAUGCGAGUCAUAUGUUCGUAAGAACAUGGCGUACUGCUCAGUAACACGUGGAUAACCUGCCCUUGGGUCCGGCAUAACCCCGGGAAACUGGGGAUAAUUCCGGAUAACGCACAUAUGCUGGAAUGCUUUAUGCGUAAAAUGGAUUCGUCUGCCCAAGGAUGGGUCUGCGGCCUAUCAGGUAGUAGUGGGUGUAAUGUACCUACUAGCCUACGACGGGUACGGGUUGUGAGAGCAAGAGCCCGGAGAUGGAUUCUGUGACAUGAAUCCAGGCCCUACGGGGCGCAGCAGGCGCGAAAACUUUACAAUGCGGGAAACCGUGAUAAGGGGACACCGAGUGCCAGCAUCCUAUGCUGGCUGUCCGGGUGUGUAAAAUACACCUGUUAGCAAGGGCCGGGCAAGACCGGUGCCAGCCGCCGCGGUAACACCGGCGGCCCGAGUGGUGACCGUGAUUAUUGGGUCUAAAGGGUCCGUAGCCGGUUUGGUCAGUCCUCCGGGAAAUCUGACAGCUUAACUGUUAGGCUUUCGGGGGAUACUGCCAGACUUGGAACCGGGAGAGGUAAGAGGUACUACAGGGGUAGGAGUGAAAUCUUGUAAUCCCUGUGGGACCACCUGUGGCGAAGGCGUCUUACCAGAACGGGUUCGACGGUGAGGGACGAAAGCUGGGGGCACGAACCGGAUUAGAUACCCGGGUAGUCCCAGCCGUAAACGAUGCUCGCUAGGUGUCAGGCAUGGCGCGACCGUGUCUGGUGCCGCAGGGAAGCCGUUAAGCGAGCCACCUGGGAAGUACGGCCGCAAGGCUGAAACUUAA